The sequence is a small RNA, 225 nucleotides long. It matches the Rfam family "A. fumigatus sRNA Afu_182".
ACAUGAACAACGCAAAAUUAACAACAUUCUACAAAAAAGCGUUCCUGCAAAGGCUCCAACCCCAAGGGAGAGGAUGCCCAUGAGGUAUGGAAAUCGUCUAUUAGAAUGGAGAAUAAUGCUGUAAUUGGCUUUAGUCGUCGGUCUUGGGUGCAGUGUCAUCCCCCCCUUCUCUCUCGCUCGAGAGAGAGGGUUUUGUGGGUGGGAUUGCAAUGAUUGGCGGGACAU